Long non-coding RNA from Oncorhynchus masou masou (cherry salmon), 1485 nucleotides. RefSeq lists it as uncharacterized. The record is from RefSeq and is a predicted model, not a curated record. NCBI's taxonomy places the organism in Eukaryota, Metazoa, Chordata, Actinopteri, Salmoniformes, Salmonidae. The transcript has 2 exons.
CCACCCGAUGUUACAGGAAGGCCAUAAAGAUCAUCAAGGACAACAACCACCCGAGCCACUGCCUGUUCACCCUGCUAUCAUCCAGAAGGCGAGGUCAGUACAGGUGCAUCAAAGCUGGGACCGAGAGACUGAAAAACAUCUUCUAUCUCAAGGCCAUCAGACUGUUAAACAGCCACCACUAACAUUGAGUGGCUGCUGCCAACACACUGACUCAACUCCAGCCACUUUAAUAAUGGGAAUUGAUGUAAAAUAUAUCACUAGCCACUUUAAACGAUGCUAUUUAAUAUAAUGUUUACAUACCCUACAUUAUUCAUCUCGUAUGUAUGCGUAUAUACUGUACUCUAUAUCAUCUACUGCAUCUUUAUGUAAUACAUGUAUCACUAGCCACUUUAAACUAUGCCACUUUGUUUACAUACUCAUCUCAUAUGUAUAUACUGUACUCGAUACCAUCUACUGCAUCUUGCCUAUGCCACUCUGUACCAUCACUCAUUCAUAUAUCUUUAUGUACAUAUUCUUUAUCCCUUUGGUUAUUACUGCAUUGUCGGAACUCGAAGCACAAGCAUUUCGCUACACUCACAUUAACAUCUGCUAACCAUGUGUAUGUGACAAAUAAGAUUUGAUUUGAUUUGAGUGGCCAGGUGGUUUUGGAGUUGGUUAGAAACAGCACGUUUGAGGGAGGAGCUUACUCUGGAAGGGCAGAUUGGAAAUAGGCCUGUAGUUCUGGAGGUUGUCAGGCAUUUUAAGUGCUGGUGUGACUGUGGACAGUUUGAGCUGAGGAGGGACACAUCCGGUGAUGAGGGACUUGUUGAUACUUUCUGUGAAGAAAGGCUCCAGAGCAGGUGGCGUACAUGAGACUGUAAUGUCAGAGGUCAAGAGCCAUGGAUCCACUCAUCUUUCCUAGAGGGAGCACCAGCAGAAGAAGCACUGGAACACUAGAGUACAGUGACUUAUGUCUUCGGCUGUGUUCAAGAGGCACGUAAUGGAACACCAAGUUUCAAGCAUUUUCCAAAAAGAAUGCUCAUUCCGCUAUACGUUUUGAAUAGGUUUAUUCAUUUUGGUCCUACUGAACAUGACCCUGAUAGCUGCUGUAAUGCAGACCAUGUAAAAAGACUUGUAUCAUUCCAUUCCAUUGGAAUGUCUGAAUUAUUGAUGACCUGCCCAGAUUAAAUAGUGAAUCUGACUAACAUGCCUAUGUUGAAGUGCAUGUUUAUUAGAGGGGGGGGGGGACUUUUAUUGUAAAUAAGAAUAGAAUAUGUUUCUAAACACUUCUGCAUGAAUGUGGAUGCUACCAUGAUUACAGAUAAUGAAUCGUGAAUAAUGAUGAGUGACAAAGUUACAGAUGCCCAAAUAUCAUACCCCUCAAUGGCUUGUAGGUAUAUUUGUGCAUCUAACAUUCUCACUCAUUAUUCACGAUUCCUUCAGGAUUAUCCGUCUUAUUCUUUUUUUUCUUUCUUUUUUUUUACAAUAAAAGUGACUCCAAAAUGA